Long non-coding RNA from Vitis riparia (riverbank grape), 364 nucleotides. RefSeq lists it as uncharacterized. NCBI's taxonomy places the organism in Eukaryota, Viridiplantae, Streptophyta, Magnoliopsida, Vitales, Vitaceae. The record is from RefSeq and is a predicted model, not a curated record. The transcript is spliced from 4 exons.
GAGCAAUUCAUCUUUAGACUGGGAGGAGCUGGAGCUCAAGAUAUCUCAGUUCACAAAGCCAAUAAAAGUUGAGGUGCCUGUCUCCUGAUACAAAGACAUGAUAACACAGGCAGAGUCACCUGAAAGAUGCAAAUAUUACUCUUGAGGACCAGCAGGUAGAGCAAGGAGGGCUCCAUAAUGCCCUAGGAGGUUUUGGAGUAGCUUAGAAGGCUUUUAGUAUUUAUGUUUUGUUUAUUUGGGACUUGUACUAGUGAGACUAUUAAAUUAUAUAUUUGUACCAGGACUUUACUUUGAUUAAACUUGCUUAAACUGAUGUAUUAUUUUUCUAGACUUGGAUUAGAGACUUUGUUGAUAUUUCCUUUCU